GAUGAACGCUGGCGGCGCGCCUAACACAUGCAAGUCGAACGAUUAAAGCACCUUCGGGUGUGUAUAAAGUGGCGAACGGCUGAGUAACACGUGGGCAACCUGCCCCUUUCAUUGGGAUAGCCACGGGAAACCGUGGAUAAUACCGAAUACUUCGAGACUUCCGCAUGGAAGACUCGAGAAAGCUCCGGCGGAGAGGGGUGGGCCCGCGGCCUGUUAGCUUGUUGGUGGGGUAACGGCCUACCAAGGCAAUGAUGGGUAGCUGGGUUGAGAGACCGACCAGCCAGAUUGGGACUGAGACACGGCCCAGACUCCUACGGGAGGCAGCAGUGGGGAAUCUUGCACAAUGGGCGAAAGCCUGAUGCAGCGACGCCGCGUGCGGGAUGAAGGCCUUCGGGUUGUAAACCGCUUUCAGCAGGGACGAGGCGAAAGUGACGGUACCUGCAGAAGAAGCCCCGGCUAACUACGUGCCAGCAGCCGCGGUAAUACGUAGGGGGCAAGCGUUAUCCGGAUUCAUUGGGCGUAAAGCGCUCGUAGGCGGUCUGUUAGGUCGGGAGUUAAAUCCGGGGGCUCAACCCCCGCUCGCUCUCGAUACCGGCAGACUUGAGUUUGGUAGGGGAAGGUGGAAUUCCUAGUGUAGCGGUCGAAUGCGCAAAUAUUAGGAAGAACACCAGUGGCGAAGGCGGCCUUCUGGGCCAUAACUGACGCUGAGGAGCGAAAGCUAGGGGAGCAAACAGG
RNAcentral lists this ribosomal RNA (735 nucleotides) under uncultured Atopobium sp. RNAcentral's name for it is "bacterial SSU rRNA". It matches the Rfam family "Bacterial small subunit ribosomal RNA", at positions 28 to 776 of the family's 1533-position model. Lineage: Bacteria; Bacillati; Actinomycetota; Coriobacteriia; Coriobacteriales; Atopobiaceae. The record is from RNAcentral.